GAACUUUCUAGAGGCCGCCAUGUUGGAAGGCUGUUGUUUGCCAUUGGGCACCUGAAGAGUGACACAGCUGGUUUUCUUUUCCUCCUGGUUGCUGCACCUUGAGACUGUGGUGCUAUGAUUGGAUCAGUUCAUCCUCAAGUGGAGAAUAACUGGAAGUGUGCCAAUGUGUCCCAGUGUUACCUGGGAUCUGACAGCCCCUGAAGCCAUUGUACAUCCAACUGGCUUCGACAGAAGCUCCCAGUCAAGACUGAAACUUUGAUGCUUCUUGUGCACAGCUUCCUGGCUCCCCCAGAUGUGUUUCCCAUCAGUCCCAGUGCCGAGCCCAGAGCCUGGUUUUCUGCAGGCACUCAGAGCAUGGCUGUUGACUGAAUAUAUUUGUAUGUGUUAAUUCCCCUUGAGCUAAACACAAGUCGUUCCGUUGAUGGCAACUAGCUUCAGACACAGUUGGAGUCCCCAGAGGGUUGGCCAGGAGCAAAGUGUGUACCCACGUGAGGCCUUUGGAGAUGAUGCCGUCAGUGAGAGGAAUCUGCCCUGGCAUUCCAGGGGUGGCUCUGCAGGGACUUUUCAGUCUUAGCUCAGCUUUCCAACAGGUCCACCUUCUCCCCUAGACCCUGGGGACCCAGUCCCUUUCCCCUUCUGUAAUCCUCAAACCACCCACGCCAUCACUUGGGGUCUCCUGUCCUGAGACUAGAUAUGAGGAGGCCCCAUUUUCCCAACUCAACCCUGAUGGUGGGUU
Molecule: long non-coding RNA, 736 nt
Filed under: Homo sapiens (human)
Lineage: Eukaryota; Metazoa; Chordata; Mammalia; Primates; Hominidae
Description: non-protein coding lnc-ABHD17C-1:1
Source: RNAcentral